This 568-nucleotide unclassified non-coding RNA is filed under the name Hevea brasiliensis (rubber tree). The record is from RNAcentral. Lineage: Eukaryota; Viridiplantae; Streptophyta; Magnoliopsida; Malpighiales; Euphorbiaceae.
AAAAAAAAAAAAAAAAAACUACUACGCACAAGUAACAAUAAUUGUAGAUCAAAAGCUAGCGGACAAAAGAGAUGAGAAAAGUGAAAAAAUCAAGGACAUUUAUCUCAGAAUUUAAAAGAAGCUACUGGACAAAAAAAGAUUAUAUCUUGGAAAUUGCAAUUUCAACAAAGCUUUUGAACACAAAGUAACUCUUUUCCUUCUAGGGUUUCGUUUUAGCUCUCUUUCUCUCUCAGCUACCAGUCAAUUUGCAAUUUUUUUAACCCACCUACCACCCAAAAAUCUCACAUUAACCAAAGCAACUCAAUGAUUAAGCCCAGAGACUGCAAGCUAUAGCUUUCAUCUUGGAAUCACUAAACAAAACCCAGUAACCCGAAAACUGAUCGCCGGCCAGCUGUUCUCCAAUCCAAAAAUGGUCAACUACUGAAUAAACAACUACCCAGAAUCUCAAAAGCUGAAAAAAUCCAAAUCAGAAAUGUGAAACAGUCUUAUAAUAAGGCUGCUAUAUAAGAAAUAAAAAUUCAGAGAAACAGAAACUGAGGGAGACAGAGAGACUUCGUGUGAAAGCUUU